Molecule: small nucleolar RNA, 139 nt
Organism: Choloepus hoffmanni (Hoffmann's two-fingered sloth)
Lineage: Eukaryota; Metazoa; Chordata; Mammalia; Pilosa; Megalonychidae
Source: Ensembl
UGGCUCGGUUUCCUGGGGGGUGGGCGCAGCCUACACCACCUCCCCUCAGACGAGCCUAGAGUAGAGAGGCUGGGCCUCCUUCCCCAGGGGAGAGGCAUUGGAGAAAGGGGCCUCGCCUGGGCUGUCCAGCCUCACAUGC